Molecule: ribosomal RNA, 1348 nt
Filed under: uncultured bacterium
Lineage: Bacteria
Description: bacterial SSU rRNA
Rfam family: Bacterial small subunit ribosomal RNA
Source: RNAcentral
GGAUUAAUGCUGGCGGCGUGCCUGACACAUGCAAGUCGUACGGCCCGCCUUUGGCGGGCAGUGGCGAACGGCUGAGUAACGCGUGGAUAAUCUGCCCUUCUCCCGACCAUAACCUGCCGAAAGGCAGGCUAAUAGUCGAUGGUAUUUAAUGGUGAAAUUCCAUUAAAUUAAAGGCUUUCCGCAAGGAUGGCCGGAGAAGGAGGAGUCCGCGUCCUAUCAGCUUGUUGGUGAGGUAAUGGCUCACCAAGGCGAUGACGGGUAGCUGGUCUGAGAGGAUGGUCAGCCAGAAGGGGACUGAGACACGGCCCCUACUCCUACGGGAGGCAGCAGUGAGGAAUCUUGCGCAAUGGGCGAAAGCCUGACGCAGCGACGCCGCGUGAGGGAAGAAGCCCUUCGGGGUGUAAACCUCUUUUUUUGCCGACGAAAUCUGACGUUAGGCAAAGAAUAAGGACCUGCUAACUACGUGCCAGCAGCCGCGGUAAGACGUAGGGUCCAAGCAUUAUCCGGAUUUACUGGGCGUAAAGAGUGCGUAGGUGCUCGUCUUAAUUUCGUCUGAAAGGGCUAUGGCUCAACCAUAGAAUUGGACGAAAAAUUGGACGAGUUGAGGCCGGAAGGGGCAGGUGGAAUUCUCGGUGUAGGGGUGAAAUCCGUUGAUAUCGAGAAGAACGCCAAUGGCGAAGGCAGCCUGCUGGUCCGGGUUCUGACACUGAGGCACGAAAGCGUGGGGAGCGAACGGGAUUAGAUACCCCGGUAGUCCACGCCGUAAACGAUGCAGACUAGCUAUUGGGAGCAUCGACCCUCCUUGUAGCGAAGCUAACGCGUCAAGUCUGCCGCCUGGGAAGUACGGCCGCAAGGCUAAAACUCAAAGGAAUUGACGGGGGCUCGCACAAGCGGUGGAGCAUCUGGCUUAAUUCGACGACAAGCGAAGAACCUUACCAGGCCUUGACAUCCCGCGAAUCCUGCCGAAAGGUGGGAGUGCCCGCAAGGGAACGCGGAGACAGGUGCUGCAUGGUCGUCGUCAGCUCGUACCGUGAGGCGUUGGGUUAAGUCCCGGAACGAGCGCAACCCUCGUCCUCUGUUUCACGUGUCAGAGGAGACUGCCCUGGUUAACAGGGAGGAAGGUGGGGAUGACGUCAGAUCAGCAUGGCUUUUACGGCCUGGGCGGCACAGGUGCUACAAUGGCUGGUACAAAGGGUUGCGAAGCGGUAACGCGGAGCUAAUCCCAUCAAAGCCAGCCCCAGUUCGGAUUGUGGUCUGCAACUCGACCACAUGAAGCUGGAAUCGCUAGUAACCGUGGGUCAGCCACACCACGGUGAAUACGUUCUCGAGCCUUGYACUCACCGCCCGU